Aethalodelphis obliquidens (Pacific white-sided dolphin) is the source of this 2052-nucleotide long non-coding RNA. RefSeq lists it as uncharacterized. The transcript is spliced from 2 exons. The record is from RefSeq and is a predicted model, not a curated record. NCBI's taxonomy places the organism in Eukaryota, Metazoa, Chordata, Mammalia, Artiodactyla, Delphinidae.
CUCAGGGCACAGACCCGUGGGGUGUUGGGAAACCUGCGUGAGGCCAAGGACUUGAGUUAGACACUGGACGGGGACUCGUGAGACGGCAGCGUGGCAGGGACAUGCUGUGGGUUUUGAGUCAAACAGACCUGGUUUGAAGAACUGUCUCAGCUACUAGCUAGUUACCUCAGCCCUGGCAAACUCCUGCAGCUCCCAAAGCCUCUGUUUCCUCAACUGCAUAGUUCAGGAGAAACGUAGGAAAUGUCUCAGCUCACAGCAUCUGAGUCAGCGGGAGAUACUGGGUUUCAAGAAGGCCCAGGUUGCGAGAGCUGUGACGUGAGGCUGCCAGAAGCUUCCACCUGCUCCGACCUUUGCACAGGUUUGUGUGCCAGCUUUAUUCUCUCUCUCUCUGCAAACUGGCUUCUGCUGUGAUCAGCUGGGCUUCCGUCAGAGCAGCAAAACCAAGGACUUUGAUUCUGGAGCCGUUGCAUAACGUCACUUUCUAAGGGGGCCCAACCUCCCACCAUCAGUCUGCCUCGCUGAACUGCUCCUGUUUCCGAAGCAGCCCCGCAGGAGUCUGGUUCUCUGCUGCGGUGCUGGGUCUUCGAAGAGAAAGCAAGGGCAUCUUCCAUCGCCGGGUAAGCGUUUGUCCUCACAGCUGGGCUUUCUGCAGUUCACCACUCCCCCACGCGUUGGCCUCUACCCACCUUUCCAGAAGCAUUCCUGCUAGCCCUUCACAUCUAGCCCUUCACAGCUAACGCUGCACAUCCCUUCUCCCAAACAUCCCGGGGCUGCACUGCCUCUUGGAAACUCCCUCCCAUCCAGCUCCCUGUAGCUGCAGACAAAUAGAUCCUUCAAGUCAAAUUCCAACACCUCCAGAGAGCCUCCGGGGUUGUUUGCAGUUAGAAGAGGCCACACCCUUCUCUUCCCCACUGUACCUGACCUGCACGUUUCCUAGGGCACGGCUCAUGGGCUGUUUGCUGCGUGUCAUUUGCUCACUGCCCUGGUUUCAACACUACUUUCACCAAGAGCACCCAUGACCCGAUGAACCUGUCUGUCCAGUCCGAGGCUGGUGGACAUGGAGUCUCACUGCCUUCAGCCACGGGGGUGUGGUCAGCAGACAGAGCUCAGCUCUCGGCUCCUUUAACCGAGCAAGAUGGGGAUUUAACAAUCCAGCCAAUUCAGCCCAAGAUGGACAACUCUACUGAACAAUGUUCCCUCUUGGCCAAAGUUUUGUGGGGCUGGUAAUGCAGUUCCACUUUCCCGUCUGCUCCAUCCUGCCUCCCCUCACUUCCAUUCACAGGUGUUGAUCACCGCCAAGCAUCUUCUACCCAAACUCCAACUCAGCCAGCAGCGCUGGGCCUUCUCCUGGGCUUCUUCGUUUGCUCUUUCAUUCGGCAAAUCUUGAUCCAGCCCUGGCCACGUGCAGACACCGUUCUGAGCAAUUGAAAUUUGGCAGCAAACAAUGUGGGACUUAAAGACCUGUGGGGAGAGAGACUAGAAACAAGCAAAUAAACGAAAAAGAUACUGUAAAUGCUGUGAGAAUGGACAAGUAAUGGAUCAGAGAGUGACUUGGAGGUAACCACCCUGGAUGGAGGGAGCGUAUGGAAAAGCUUCUCUGAAGAGGAGAUGUUUGAUCCAAGUGCUGAAGGUGGACAAGGAGCCAGCCAUGGGAAAUGCUGUUGUAUCGGGUUAUUUUUGUCUAACUGCCCUGGACAUCUCACCAAAUGCUCCCAGGUCCCAAGUGGCCUCCCCUGUCCCCAGUCCUUACUACACUCCUCUGCCUGUGUUCAUGACCUCGGGGGACGCCACGCCUGUCCACCAGGCACUCAGCCCAGAUCCUUGCAGUCCCCCUGCCCCCUCCCUGUCCCUCAUCACCAGGUCCUGCUGCCACCAAUCUUCUGGGGCGACCACACCCCCAAGCCAACCGCAGGCUGCCAGCACCUGUCAUCAGCUCUUGCAAUACUCACCUGACAGGUUGCCCUUCUCCAUCUUUCACUAUCCUUCUUGCUCUUCUUUUUUUUUGAUACAAUGUUCUUUUUUUGUAAAUUAAAAAAAAUUUUUUUUUUUGGC